Triticum aestivum (bread wheat) is the source of this 1544-nucleotide RNA transcript. RefSeq lists it as uncharacterized. Lineage: Eukaryota; Viridiplantae; Streptophyta; Magnoliopsida; Poales; Poaceae. The transcript has 8 exons. The record is from RefSeq and is a predicted model, not a curated record.
UUCAUAUAUAUGUUUUGAUGUAUACCUUUUUUCAUAUAGAUUGUACACUUUCUUAUACAUUAGAGACAUACAUGUUUAACAUUUUUCCAAUGCGCGAUGAAACAUUUUUCCAUUCUGUAUGUAAAGUUAUUUUUGUAAUAGAUAUAUUCAGAACAUUUGGAAAUAUAAGAAAAAUGUUUAAAAAACAAAGCAAAAAUGUAAAAUGUAAAAUGUCCCCGCUAGGCCGGCCAUUCUGGCGGCUGAUUUGACGCGAGGCUACGCUACUCUUGCGCCCGUAUCUCCCGCCCCCCAUCAAUCAAGAAUCCGAAAUAGCCCUCCAUAUCGCUCCACUCUCCAUUCUCCUUCCGUCCAUGCAGUAAACCCUAGAUCCAUCAGAUCGUGGGCGACUACCGACUAGGGAUUAACGGUCUCAAUGAGGUCCGUCACCAAAGAAGAAGCCGAGAGAAUAUACAUGACCGCUUGGAUCGAUAUUCGUGGAAAUUCGGAUGAAAUUCGCAGGAUACUGCCGAGACAGAUUGUCCUGUACCCAGAUAUCUUCGAGCGAGUGUGGGGUUGGGAUCGGCUACUGCCACAAGACAUCGAUUGCUCGGACUUUAUUUUUGAUUACCUCAAGGAGUAUCUGAGGCGCAAUCGAAUGGACCACGUCGCCGCUGCCGACGGCAAGCCUGAGGAGUGGCCGCCGCUGAAAGCCCCACCACCGGUGGAGGAUGUUCCCAAAUGCUCCCCGGACGGGAAGAAAGCCCUCACUGUUGCUGCCAGAUUCUGUCUGAAGAUGGAGCGGCAGUUCAUGAAGGUGUGGAAGAAUCGACCCAUACACAAUGUGGAACUCCUGAGCGAAAAGAUCCAGGAGCGCGCCAGUCGCCUCAUCCUUGUAGGGUGAGAAUUCUCUGAACCUGCCGCCGCCAACUUGGUGUGUAUCGCUAACGAGGCCGCUUUGGCUUGUGAGCUGCUCAAACGCGGGGCUAAAGCCAAUGACAAGGAGAUCAACUUAUGCAACUGCAUCCGCCAUUGCGCGCUGAGUCUUAUGUACAUUACAGGGCCGCAUUCAGAUGCCGCCGCUGCUGCAAUGGUGGGCGUUGCCAAGGAGGCCAGGAAGAUUCGUGAGUGGCUGAGGAAUGUGAACGAAUGUUAUCGCUUCAGAUCCUACUCUCGAAGAUACGAGAUUUGUCUUUGCGAUGACAUCCGCGUUGCCACCUUUGAUCUUCUGAAGUAUAUACUGUUGAAUUCUACAGGGCAUAUAUGGAACAAAGAACCGUUUGUGCUUAUGGAUUUUGCAAUAAAGAGGAACAAGAGUAAGAGACAAACGACCAUGGCAGGAACUUCAGAUAAAUAUUUAUGACAGUGUCCAGCCACAACUGAGGACAUGGAUUGGUGUGGCACAGUUCAUACUGGAAAUAUCCUUUGCAUUCACAAGCUGUCAGCCAAGAGGAUGGUUGCAUUUGAAGGCCAGAACACCGGCAGGAGAUUCUUUGGCUGCGCUAAGCGGGAAGGGAACAUGUCGUGGAAUUAUCACGGCAGAUGUCCUUAGUGUGAGGACUUAGUCG